This 22-nucleotide microRNA is filed under the name Schistosoma japonicum. RNAcentral's name for it is "miRNA-3017". The record is from RNAcentral. Lineage: Eukaryota; Metazoa; Platyhelminthes; Trematoda; Strigeidida; Schistosomatidae.
AGACCUUGAACGACAUGGCUUU